Molecule: long non-coding RNA, 244 nt
Filed under: Linum usitatissimum (flax)
Lineage: Eukaryota; Viridiplantae; Streptophyta; Magnoliopsida; Malpighiales; Linaceae
Description: long non-coding RNA (LUSI_LNC000494)
Source: RNAcentral
GCGGCGACGGUGGCUGGAGUAGUAAUGCCGCCGCCUCUUCUUUCACAUCACCACCAUCACCACCACAACCACCGCCCUCCAACUACAGUAUUGCUGCGCAUACCUCUACCACCGCCACAUCCAGCUGCGCAGCCGCCGCCUCUACAUCCGCCACCGCUGCAAUCUCACCCUCAAGUAGCAGCCCCGCCGCCACCUCCUCAUCUAAUCACUCACUCUCCUCAUCAUUACCAAACUCCCACAGUAG